UACGUAGGUGGCAAGCGUUGGCCGGAUUUACGGGGUGUAAAGGGCUUGUCGGCGGGAUAGCAAGUCAGAUGUGAAAUUACGGGGCUUAACACCGGCGCUGCAUCUGAAACUGUUAUUCUUGAGUGUCGGAGAGGAAAGUUUAAUUCCCAGUGUAGCGGUGAAAUGCGUAGAGAUGGGGAGGAACACCAGUGGUGAAGGCGGCUUUCUGGAAGAUAUAUGCCGCUGAGGCGCGAAAGCGUGGGGAGCAAAAAGG
Molecule: ribosomal RNA, 253 nt
Filed under: uncultured bacterium
Lineage: Bacteria
Description: partial 16S ribosomal RNA
Rfam family: Bacterial small subunit ribosomal RNA
Source: RNAcentral